RNAcentral lists this long non-coding RNA (165 nucleotides) under Ictidomys tridecemlineatus (thirteen-lined ground squirrel). RNAcentral describes it as "lncRNA (ENSSTOG00000032238.1)". Lineage: Eukaryota; Metazoa; Chordata; Mammalia; Rodentia; Sciuridae. The record is from RNAcentral.
AGGCCAGGGGGAGUGGGGCACCAGACAGGGAAGAGUGCACACCAAGCUUUCAUCCCUGGGACCUGGACGGCUCCUCUAGCUCUCACCGUGCCAUCCCCCUAAGCCAGGGGCUGGGGAAGAACUUGUCUCCCGCUGGUAGCUAUCUCCAAGAGAAGCCGGGAAAUA